UGCGUGAGAGACUGACGCAGGGCAUGGA
RNAcentral lists this small RNA (28 nucleotides) under Bombyx mori (domestic silkworm). RNAcentral describes it as "ovarian small RNA-1552". The record is from RNAcentral. Lineage: Eukaryota; Metazoa; Arthropoda; Insecta; Lepidoptera; Bombycidae.